AACUUUCAGCAAUGGAUCACUGGGCUCUCGCAUCGAUGAAGGACGCAGCGAAAUGCGAUAAGUAAUGUGAAUUGCAGAAUUCAGUGAAUCAUCGAAUCUUUGAACGCACCUUGCGCUCCUUGGUAUUCCGAGGAGCAUGCCUGUUUGAGUGUCAUUAAAUUCUCAACCUUAUCAAUUUUCACAAGUUGGUAAUGGCUUGGACUUGGGGGUUUUUUGUUGGCUUCGUCAAGAGGUCUGCUCCCCUUAAAUGUAUUAGCCGGUCCCCUGUGGAAUCGUCUAUUGGUGUGAUAAUUAUCUACGCCGUGGGCCUUCACUUUAAAUGGGUUGUACUGCUUCUAACCGUCCGUUAAGUCGGACAAAUAAUGACAAUUUGACCUCAAAUCAGGUAGGACUACCCGCUGAACUUAAGCAUAUCAAUAAGCGGAGGCU
RNAcentral lists this unclassified non-coding RNA (429 nucleotides) under uncultured Galerina. RNAcentral describes it as "sequence contains ITS2". The stretch from base 1 to 154 matches the Rfam family "5.8S ribosomal RNA". The record is from RNAcentral. Lineage: Eukaryota; Fungi; Basidiomycota; Agaricomycetes; Agaricales; Cortinariaceae.